Molecule: ribosomal RNA, 732 nt
Filed under: uncultured bacterium
Lineage: Bacteria
Description: bacterial SSU rRNA
Rfam family: Bacterial small subunit ribosomal RNA
Source: RNAcentral
GUCGAACGAGGUCCAACCAGUCGCAAGACUGGGGAAGACCUAGUGGCGAACGGGUGAGUAACACGUGAGCAACCUGCCCCGAAGACUGGGAUAACACCGGGAAACCGGUGCUAAUACCGGAUAUCCCCAUUGAAUCGCAUGGUUCGAUGAGGAAAUGGAUUCCGCUUCGGGAGGGGCUCGCGGGCUAUCAGCUUGUUGGUGGGGUAAUGGCCCACCAAGGCAUCGACGGCUAGCUGGUCUGAGAGGACGAUCAGCCACACUGGGACUGAGACACGGCCCAGACUCCUACGGGAGGCAGCAGUGGGGAAUCUUGCCCAAUGGGCGAAAGCCUGAGGCAGCAACGCCGCGUGCGGGAUGACGGCCUUCGGGUUGUAAACCGCUUUCAGCAGGGACGAAAUUGACGGUACCUGCAGAAGAAGCUCCGGCCAACUACGUGCCAGCAGCCGCGGUAAUACGUAGGGAGCGAGCGUUGUCCGGAUUUAUUGGGCGUAAAGAGCGCGUAGGCGGCUAGGUAAGUCGGGUGUGAAAACUCCAAGCUCAACUUGGAGCGGCCACUCGAUACUGCCUUAGCUAGAGUCUGGUAGGGGAUCACGGAAUUCCUGGUGUAGCGGUGAAAUGCUUAGAUAUCAGAGGAACACCGGGUGGCGAAGCGGUGAUCUGGGCCAGUACUGACGCUGAGCGCGAAAGCGUGGGGAGCGAACAGAUUAGAUACCCUGGUAGUCCACGCUGUAA